AACGCGAAGAACCUUACCAAGUCUUGACAUCCCACUGACAGAGUAUGUAAUGUACUUUCCCUUCGGGGCAGUGGCGACAGGUGGUGCAUGGUUGUCGUCAGCUCGUGUCGUGAGAUGUUGGGUUAAGUCCCGCAACGAGCGCAACCCUUAUUUCCAGUAGCCAGCAGUAAGAUGGGCACUCUGGAGAGACUGCCAGGGAUAACCUGGAGGAAGGUGGGGAUGACGUCAAAUCAUCAUGCCCCUUAUGACUUGGGCGACACACGUGCUACAAUGGCGUAAACAAAGAGAAGCGAGAGCGUGAGCUUAAGCAAAUCCCAAAAAUAACGUCUCAGUUCGGACUGUAGUCUGCAACCCGACUACACGAAGCUGGAAUCGCUAGUAAUCGCGGUAUCAGAGAUGCCGCGGUGAAUACGUUCCCCGGGGUCUUUGUACACACCG
Molecule: ribosomal RNA, 438 nt
Filed under: uncultured rumen bacterium
Lineage: Bacteria
Description: bacterial SSU rRNA
Rfam family: Bacterial small subunit ribosomal RNA
Source: RNAcentral